CACAGAGAAACAUUAGAGCUCACACUGAAACGGAGCUACAGCUCUGUGUCUUGUAGAAGAUUUAUUUUCAAAGCUACAUGUGUGACGGUAAUAAUCCGUACCAGAGCAGACCUCAUUAGCACUUCCGCUAGGUCGACUAACCUUUCCGGUCACUUCAGGGACGCUGUUGUCGAGUGAAAGUAGCAGUUCCUCCUGAAGGUCAGAGAUUGCAGCAUCUGAGGGCCUCUUCAAAAGAAGACGUAGUUGAUGAAGGCGUUCUGGAGCGGGACCAGAAAGACCACGACCAAGCAGCCUUGAGAUCUUAGACAGCGUCUCCCUCAGACCAAAGAACUACAGACUCUUCACAACCUGCUCAAACUCUUGGUACAGGACCUCACCACACGGGUCAAGAAGGUUUCUGUCUCAUUUCUACUCUGAAGCUCACCUUCUCCUGCUCAAACUGCUGACAAAUGUUUCUGCUGCUCUAAAGUCUGGUCUCCAGAACUUCCUAAAAAC
This is a long non-coding RNA of Amphiprion ocellaris (clown anemonefish), 495 nucleotides long. The record is from Ensembl. Lineage: Eukaryota; Metazoa; Chordata; Actinopteri; Pomacentridae.